Molecule: ribosomal RNA, 486 nt
Filed under: uncultured bacterium
Lineage: Bacteria
Description: partial 16S ribosomal RNA
Rfam family: Bacterial small subunit ribosomal RNA
Source: RNAcentral
AUUGAACGCUGGCGGCAUGCCUUACACAUGCAAGUCGAACGGCAGCACGGGUGAUUGCACCUGGUGGCGAGUGGCGGACGGGUGAGUAAUACAUCGGAACAUGUCCUGUAGGGGGGGAUAGCCCGGCGAAAGCCGGAUUAAGACCGCAUACGAUCUACGGAUGAGAGCGGGGGACCUUCGGGCCUCGCGCUAUAGGGUUGGCCGAUGGCUGAUUAGCUAGUUGGUGGGGUAAAGGCCUACCAAGGCGACGAUCAGUAGCUGGUCUGAGAGGACGACCAGCCACACUGGGACUGAGACACGGCCCAGACUCCUACGGGAGGCAGCAGUGGGGAAUUUUGGACAAUGGGCGAAAGCCUGAUCCAGCAAUGCCGCGUGUGUGAAGAAGGCCUUCGGGUUGUAAAGCACUUUUGUCCGGAAAGAAAUCCUUGGCCCUAAUACGGUCGGGGGAUGACGGUACCGUAAGAAUAAGCACCGGCUAACUACGUG